AUUGAACGCUGGCGGCAUGCUUUACACAUGCAAGUCGAACGGCAGCACGGGUGCUUGCACCUGGUGGCGAGUGGCGGACGGGUGAGUAAUACAUCGGAACGUGUCCAGAAGAGGGGGAUAACGCAUCGAAAGAUGUGCUAAUACCGCAUAUACUCUAAGGAGGAAAGCAGGGGAUCGAAAGACCUUGCGCUUUUGGGGCGGCCGAUGUCUGAUUAGCUAGUUGGUGGGGUAAGGGCCUACCAAGGCGACGAUCAGUAGUUGGUCUGAGAGGACGACCAGCCACACUGGGACUGAGACACGGCCCAGACUCCUACGGGAGGCAGCAGUGGGGAAUUUUGGACAAUGGGCGCAAGCCUGAUCCAGCAAUGCCGCGUGAGUGAAGAAGGCCUGGUUGUAAGCUCUUCAGUCGAGAAGAAAGGAC
Molecule: ribosomal RNA, 421 nt
Filed under: uncultured bacterium
Lineage: Bacteria
Description: bacterial SSU rRNA
Rfam family: Bacterial small subunit ribosomal RNA
Source: RNAcentral